GCUGGGCGCAGUGGCACAUGCCUGUAGUCCCAGCUACUCGGGAGGCUGAGGGGGGGGGAAUUGCUUGAGCCCAGGAGUUCUGGGCUGUAGUGCGCUAUGCUGAUCAGGUGUCUGCACUAAGUUCAGCAUCAAUAUGGUGACCUCCUGAGAGCAGUGGACCACCAAGUUGCCUAAGAAGGGGUGAACCGGCCCAGGUCGGAAACGGAGCAGGUCAAAACUCUCGUGCUGAUCAGUAGUGGGAUCGCACCUGUGAAUGGCAACUGAACUCCAGCCUGGGCAACAUAGCGAGACCCCAUCUCU
This 300-nucleotide signal recognition particle RNA is filed under the name Cebus imitator (Panamanian white-faced capuchin). Its description in RNAcentral is "Metazoan signal recognition particle RNA (ENSCCAG00000002946.1)". It matches the Rfam family "Metazoan signal recognition particle RNA". Rfam says of the family: The signal recognition particle (SRP) is a universally conserved ribonucleoprotein. It is involved in the co-translational targeting of proteins to membranes. The eukaryotic SRP consists of a 300-nucleotide 7S RNA and six proteins: SRPs 72, 68, 54, 19, 14, and 9. Lineage: Eukaryota; Metazoa; Chordata; Mammalia; Primates; Cebidae. The record is from RNAcentral.